Non-coding RNA from Oryza nivara, 266 nucleotides. The record is from Rfam. Lineage: Eukaryota; Viridiplantae; Streptophyta; Magnoliopsida; Poales; Poaceae.
NAAAAAAGUCAUCAACAACAAAGUUGAACAACUCAUCAAGAUCUAAAACUUUUAUUUUGGUCAUUUCUUCAUACGACAAAGUGAUAGUAACAUUGUUCACAAAAUUGACAUAUCUCUUAUCUGGUUUUAUAAACUAUAACACAUAUAUGUAAAAUUUGUGAAUAAUAUUACUAACAUUUCGUCAGAUGAAGAAAUAACAAAAAUAAAAGUUUUAGAUCUUGAUGAGUUAUUCAACUUUGUUGUUGAUGACUUUUUCAGUUGAUAUC